UUCUAAUCCCGCCAUGCACCG
RNAcentral lists this microRNA (21 nucleotides) under Arabidopsis lyrata. RNAcentral describes it as "aly-miR3443-5p". The record is from miRBase by way of RNAcentral. Lineage: Eukaryota; Viridiplantae; Streptophyta; Magnoliopsida; Brassicales; Brassicaceae.